Molecule: ribosomal RNA, 407 nt
Filed under: uncultured bacterium
Lineage: Bacteria
Description: partial 16S ribosomal RNA
Rfam family: Bacterial small subunit ribosomal RNA
Source: RNAcentral
AUUGAACGCUAGCGGGAUGCCUUACACAUGCAAGUCGAACGGAGUGGCGAACGGGUGAGUAAUGUAUCGGAACGUGCCCAGUAGCGGGGGAUAACUACGCGAAAGCGUAGCUAAUACCGCAUAAUAUUGGAGCAGCCGAUAUCGGAUUAGCUAGUUGGUGGGGUAACGGCUUACCAGGGCGACGGUCCGUAGGUGGUUUGAGAGGAAGACCAGCAACACUGUGACUGAGAACCGGCCCAGACUCCUCGUGGACGCAGACUUGGGGAAUUUUGGACAAUGGGUGAAACCCUGAUCCAGCCAUCCCGCGUGUGCGAUGAAGGCCUUCGGGUUGUAAAGCACUUUUGGCAGGAAAGCGGUACCUGCAGAAUAAGCACCGGCUAACUACGUGCCAGCAGCCGCGGUAAUAC